GAUGAACGCUGGCGGCGUGCCUAAUCCAUGCAAGUCGAGCGAACAGAUAAGGAGCUUGCUCCUUUGACGUUAGCGGCGGACGGGUGAGUAACACGUGGGUAACCUACCUAUAAGACUGGCAUCACUCCGGGAAACCGGGUCUAAUGCCGGAUAACAUGUUGAACCGCAUGGUUCUACAGUGAAAGGCGGCUUUGCUGUCACUUAUAGCUGGACCCGCGCCGGAUUAGCUAGUUGGUGAGGUAACGGCUGACCAAGGCAACGAUACGUAGCCGACCUGGGAGCGUGAUCGGCCGCAGUGGAACAGAGCCGCGUUCCAGACUCCUACGGGAGGCCGCAGGAGGUAAUCUUCCGCCAUGGGCGAGAGCCUGACGGAGCAACGCCGCGUGAGUUAUUACGGUCCUCGGAUCGUAAGACUCUGUUAUUAGGGGAUAACAUAUGCGUAAGGGCCUGUACUGGUCGUGAUGGUACCUACGCAGAAAGCUACGGCUAGCUACGUG
This 497-nucleotide ribosomal RNA is filed under the name uncultured bacterium. Its description in RNAcentral is "partial 16S ribosomal RNA". It matches the Rfam family "Bacterial small subunit ribosomal RNA", at positions 28 to 507 of the family's 1533-position model. The record is from RNAcentral.